Molecule: RNA transcript, 2220 nt
Organism: Pyrus x bretschneideri (Chinese white pear)
Lineage: Eukaryota; Viridiplantae; Streptophyta; Magnoliopsida; Rosales; Rosaceae
Exons: 7
Source: RefSeq, a predicted model, not a curated record
UCCUCCGUCUUUCCCUUUUCUCACUCUGAGCUCAUUUCCUACAACCCUAGCACCGUUUCUCUCUCAUUUCCUAUCAAAUUCGAGAGACUUCUCUCUCCAUUUCUCUCAACCUAGCCCCAGCGCUGCUCACCCCAUUCCUCUUCAUCAUCUCAGUUAAAUCCGUUGAACAAUCACUGAUGCACCUCCACACGAACCCAUAUCGAAUUUUCCUCCUGCCCACGAACCAACCUCCAUAUCGUGGAUCCACCGUCCUUGCAAGUCGCCGACACCCACAAAUGAACUCAGAUACGACCAUCAAAAGUAGGGCGGAGCUCUCGAAGAUGUCAGAUUUGAGAAGGGAAAAGGAGCGGAGCGGAAUUUAAAAUGCGCGAGCUCUGCUUUCAGGCCUCCCUGAAACGCUUGCAGAAAGAUAGGUGCUUGGAUGGGAGUGGAUGUAGGAGCAGGGAGUGGUGCGAGGAGGGGAAGUAGUACCAUCAUCUGCUGUGUUGCAGUAGUGAAGUGAUCAGACGUCGGUAUGGCAUCUGCUAGCCUAGGGAAUGGUGGAGUUGGCAGUUCAAGGUAUGUUAGACAAUAGAUAUGGCAUAAGUGAUAAGCCAUUUUCCCUCUCUGCAAGUGUUAACCUCACCCUGUAUGGGAUUAUGAAAAGGAGGGGCUUUCUUUUUUGCGUUGCAAGGGAUAGAAGGAAACUUAAUUUACUAUAUUAGCCUUAUGAGUUUACGGACCUUCUAAUAUUUCAUAGUGGACCUGGAAGUGAUUUUCCAGGAACGGGAAAGGUAAUUGAGAUUAGUCUCUGAUUGUUUGAUCAUCCUCUAUAUAUUUGAUGAAGCUUCAACUAGCUUCUACCAGACAACCCCUCAUUUCUUUAUGGUAAUUGAGCUUCAUCUCUAAUUGUUUAUUGUCUGAUUAGGUUAUUAUAAUAUUUGGGUUGUUGGAUAUGUUGGAUUUGAAUUGAUUUUUUGUUUUCAUUUUUCAUGGUGAUGGAUUUUCGAAUGAAAUGCACUCAACCCUGAAUUCCAGUGGGGUGGCUGAAGCAGCUGCCGGAUAUGACUUAUGGCAGCCAAGGGGAUCACUACAGUGUGGGAGUCAAAAUGACCACACUACCCCAUCAAGGGUUCAGAUCUUGCCGUCAGGUGAUAUGAGAGGGGGUUGGAUGGUAAUUUUGUCCGUAGGGUUUCGGACGGAUUGGGAUGGGUUAGGGACUUUGUUCAUUUAGUUUGUUUCUGUGAGAGAGAGAGAGAGAGAGAGAGAGAGAGAGGAUGUCAGUGUCGAUCUUUGAUUCAGUGAGUGAGAGUGUGACGGUGAAAGAGGGGGAUCAUCGGGAUUUCAGGGAGAGAAACACAGAGAGAGGGGUGAUGGUGAACAGGCGCGAGUAUGGUCCCUUAGUCCAGGAUUCACUCUUCAUCGUCCAUACUCUAUUGCAUGCUCAGAUAAGUGUCUUUUUCAAUUACAUUUUGUACUAAAAUCUUUUUUUUUUUAUUGUUUCUUGCAUUUAUAUCUGCGUGAAUGUGGUGAUUGAAAAGCCCAAAAAAAAUUUUCCAAAUCUUUUUGUACUGUUUUGUUAGGUGAGGCAUCAUGGUUUUUGGUUUUUUUUUUUUUUAAUCGGUUGGGGGAUUUUCUGGGCGUCUUUUUAUUUUUUUCCCCUUUGGUUUGUUUUUCAUUCUGGGUUCCCACUCUUUCAUUAGAGAGUACAAAAAUUCCAAAGGUAAACAUCCAAUCCCUUGCUUCGCUUUUCUGUCCAUAAUCAAGAAUCGGUGAAAUAAGUGUGGUUCUUGGAUCUGCGGUCUGAAACAAAAAAAUAUGUCUAUUCUCUGUGCCAGCUAAUGUAUCCGUGAUUUCUUUCCAGGAUGCUACUGCAACACUCAAGUCCGUUUGGAAAAUGGAGAGCACACGACUUAAGUAUCUCGGACCCAAGGUAAAAUAUACUCAAUCUUCAAUCCUGCUUAGCAGCAGCAAUCACCACCUGUUUCAUGAAAGGAGAACGAUUUGGAGCAAGUGACUCAAAAAGUUAAACUUUGAUAUUAAAAUUAAUGGAAACCCAUCGAUUGUGUUGUAAUGGGUCUUUUUGGAAAACAAUUCUUAAGACCAAUUGUGAGGUUUGUUCUUAUAUGGUACAUGAGUGUUUUUAUAAUUCUUUUGCACAGUUGUUAGUAUUUGUAGUUGUGAUUGGUGUUGUCCUACAUAUUUGGCUUGAAGAAAUAAGACACUACUUUUGAUAAACCA